This 555-nucleotide ribosomal RNA is filed under the name uncultured bacterium. RNAcentral describes it as "partial 16S ribosomal RNA". The record is from RNAcentral.
GGAGUUAGCCGGUGCUUCUUCUGUGAGUGAUGUCCUUCCUGCCGGCUAUUAACCCGCAGGCCUUCUUCCUCACUGAAAGUGCUUUACAACCCGAAGGCCUUCUUCACACACGCGGCAUGGCUGGAUCAGGGUUGCCCCCAUUGUCCAAUAUUCCCCACUGCUGCCUCCCGUAGGAGUCUGGGCCGUGUCUCAGUCCCAGUGUGGCUGAUCAUCCUCUCAGACCAGCUACGGAUCGUCGCCUUGGUGAGCCGUUACCUCACCAACCAGCUAAUCCGACAUAGGCUCAUCCGAUAGCGCGAGGCCCGAAGGUCCCCCGCUUUCCCCCGUAGGGCGUAUGCGGUAUUAGCCUGGGUUUCCCCAGGUUAUCCCCCACUACCGGGCAGAUUCCUAUGCAUUACUCACCCGUCCGCCGCUCGCCACCAGGGAGCAAGCUCCCCGUGCUGCCGCUCGACUUGCAUGUGUUAGGCCUGCCGCCAGCGUUCAAUCUGAGCCAUAGAUACCCUAACGUACCUUGACGUCGGGACGUCGGGGCCUAGGGGCCGAACGGACGUACGA